Long non-coding RNA from Amphiprion ocellaris (clown anemonefish), 1979 nucleotides. The record is from Ensembl. NCBI's taxonomy places the organism in Eukaryota, Metazoa, Chordata, Actinopteri, Pomacentridae.
UAUUAUGUAAGUUUAGCUGAUUAAAGUUUAUGACUCUGCACUACAAUAUUAUUUAUUAUUUAAGUUUACAUCAUUAUAAUAUUUAGGGUCAGACUCUACAGUAUUGAGAUUAAGAAAUCAAAUAUUCUGUAAAAUGUAAAUACACUGAACUCAUUUGGAUAUAUUUAAGUGAAACUCUACAAUAUUAUUUGACACAAAUCUAUCUAAAUCAAAAUUUUAGUAAUUUUCAUGCCAAACAUUUACUGGACUGAUUUAAAUAUUAAAAUCACUCCUUUCUAAUCCUCUGCUGUACGUUCAAACCUGAGGCCUGAAAUAGAAACACACAAGUAUCUGAUUGAAGGAACUUCUGCAGAGUCCUGGUUCCAGAACAUGAUGAUAGAAUUAUAGACAAACUUUAACAAAAGCUGCCUGAGAGUUUACAGGUUUUUAUGUUGGAUUUCUUCAGUAAUUUAAUGAGUUAUCAGCAAUAAUCAAGUGUUCAUUUGAUGAACUUCAUUUCCUAAAACAUCCCGAAUUGGAGCUCGUAUCUUUGGCAGCUGUAAAGUUUCUGCUCCUUCAAAGUUCACAACACAAUGAAUGAAUUCCUUUUAGCUGCCAUAAUUGUUAUUAUUGUUAAGAAAUGCAUUUGAUAUGAUUUGUAUAUUUUAUUUUGUCAAGUAAUUAUUUUUAUUUUGUUAACUGCUCAAGGGAAGCACUUUCUGUUUCAUGUUGCAAGGGGGACACUUUUACCUGUGACACAUAUGAUUUGGUUUUUCGAUGUAUUAUAAACUUGUUCAAGACGCACAUCCAGCCGUAAGAAAGGCAUAGCGUCAUACAAGGACUGAAAGGUGACGUUUGCAACGGUAAACUCUUUUUGUUUGAAGGAACAUUCUUCUUUUUGAUCAUUUUUGUGUUUGUGACGAAGCGGACUCAUUCCCUCUUUGCGUAAAUGCGGCUAGCGAGUUCGACGGUGGGUUUGUAUGGAGUUAACUGAAGUCAAUAAACCCGUCAGUGCUACAAGAACCAUGGUCUAAUUCCUGGAGGGAGUGAUAUCCUAAAACACUCUCAGUGCUGGAGAGCGUUUGUGAUGCUGAAGCAGUGACCAGUUUUUCUGUUUCUUCUCUGGAGAUGCACAAUGAGGGACGUCUGCAGCGACUGAGAAAGAGUCUCACCACAUCCUGACAUGAGGAAAAAGACUUUAUUGAAGACUACAAUGAGAAAAACUAUCAGAAGUCUGUAGCUGCUGAAUUCAUGGAUGGAUCAUCUGGUACUAGAGAAGAAGACCAUCAAACAUCCACGUCAGCUGAUGGAGGUCCAAGAGUCUCAUCCAACAACCAACCUACAGUGAAGACCUCGAAUCUGAUUGGACGGCCUCCUAUUCAGCCACGUGUGAACAAAUGUCUCUAAGCUGAUUUGUUUUCUAAAAUAAAUCUAGUUUGUGUUCUAAUCUAUGCCUGUGUGUUUGCUUCUUUACACUGCUGUUAAGAGUUUAGGCUGUUAGAUUGUUCCAGAUAAGACAAGUACAAGAUUCUUCAGAGCCGUUCUACCACGAGCCUGACAGGAAGAACUCCAACAGCUACUGAAUGUUCCUGUGGUCCCCUCAAGGCUACAGGAGGAGCCCUACGAGGACGAGCUGGUCCACCUGAUGGAGGCCAGUCGCUGUGGUUCAAAGCCAACACCGACUACGUGGACUUCUACUGGACCACAUGGAGGCCUUCAAACCGGACCAACAAGUUCAGCGACUCCCCGACUCGUGGGUCUGAGGACGCCGCUGAGCCUCGGUCCAGCUGGCCUCCUGUCUGUGGGUGUUUGAGUGCUGAGAGGUUUGUGGAUGCAUGUGAACGUUCUGUGUUGAAACAGCAGCUUUGGACUCAGUAACGCUGGGAAAAACCAAGAGCUCCUUUAUUUGUGACUUCCACUAAAAAAACUGAUGAAAAUAAGUUUGACAGGGUUCUGACUGAUAACAGAUUGUUAAAUAAUGAAAAUAAUCAUUCAAAUAU